Molecule: ribosomal RNA, 305 nt
Filed under: uncultured bacterium
Lineage: Bacteria
Description: bacterial SSU rRNA
Rfam family: Bacterial small subunit ribosomal RNA
Source: RNAcentral
GUGCCUACGGGACGCAGCAGUAGGGAAUUUUCGUCAAUGGGCGCAAGCCUGAACGAGCAAUGCCGCGUGAACGAGGAAGGUCUUCGGAUCGUAAAGUUCUGUUGACGGGGAAAAAAGACCGGGAAAGGAAAUGAUCCCGGAGGAGAUAUUACCCGUCGAGGAAGUCACGGCUAACUACGUGCCAGCAGCCGCGGUAAUACGUAGGGGGCAAGCGUUAUCCGGAAUUACUGGGUGUAAAGGGUGAGUAGGCGGCAUGGUAAGCCAGAUGUGAAAGCCUUGGGCUUAACCCGAGGAUUGCAUUUGGA